Molecule: long non-coding RNA, 1792 nt
Filed under: Canis lupus familiaris (dog)
Lineage: Eukaryota; Metazoa; Chordata; Mammalia; Carnivora; Canidae
Description: lncRNA (ENSCAFG00000057688.1, ENSCAFG00845007254.1)
Source: RNAcentral
AGUGUGAUGGGAGAUGAGUUUAUUUGUUCUAAUUAAAAAUAUGCAUUUCUGAAUAUUAAGAUAGCUACCUACUCAAAACAGCAAUUGAGGAAAGUCCCUAAAUUAGACACCUAAAAUUUUCUAAGCUUUUUAAAAGGAUGUUUUUCUUAAAUUAUUACAGCUAAAUUUCAUUAAACUUCUUGCUUAUAUUACAAAAUUCAAGGAAAUCCAGAGUCACUUUGUAGGCCCUGAGUGAUCAUAUUUCAAGUUUUUUCUUAUAUUUAGUUUGAUAGACUAAUUCACUUCUGAUUUAUUUCUCCAAUAUGCCCACUGUUUUCACCUCUUCCUCUUCUUUAUGUUUCCAGGAGUAUUUCCUUCCAUCUGGCCACCUAUUAAACCCUUAUGGAGCCUUCAGGCCCUGGCCGGAGUCUCACUGUCUUCUGGGAAGUCCAGGCUGUGUCCCUGCUACCAUCCCAUACCUUCCUCUCUGGAGGUGUUCUGCAACCACAUUUCAGGCACUUUUCGUGUAUUGUUCUGUGAUUAGGCUUACAGAUUGUGUUUCCCCACAAGAUUUCAGUUUCUUAAUGUCCGUACCCAUUUUAUACCAUCUUAUAUCUCUCAUGCAUUAUGUAGGUGCUCAAAAAAAUUUGAUGAAAGCAUGGAAUCUUCUAGAAGUCUUCAUAUGGUAGGUGUAUUCGUGUGCUAGGGCUACCAUAACAAACUAUCAGAGACUGGCGGCUUAAAUCACAAUAAUUUAUCUUCUCACAGUUCUGGAGGCCGGAAGCCCAAGAAUGAGGUGUUGGCAAAUUUGGAUCUGCUGCCUCUCCUUAGCCUUCCGUGGUGUUUCCUUUGUGCAUAUGAUUCCCCGCUAUCUCUCUGCAUCCAGGUUUCCUUUUUAAGGAUACUAAUCAGAUUGGGUUAAGGUCCACUCACAUGGCCUCAUUUUACCUUAAUUUCCUUUUUAAAGUCCCAUCUCCAAAUACAGUCCCAUUCUGAAGUACUGGAGGCUGGGCUUCAACAUCUGGAUUUAGAGGGUACCGUUCAGUUCUUAACAGGUGUGCCUAAGACACGGAGAGGUGUCUUUCCUCUUUGUUUCAUUUAUUUAUUUUAAUCGUUAUUUAUUUUUGUAAAGUGGGCUCCACGCCCGGGGUUGAACUUAACGACCCCGAGAUCAAGACCGGAUUGCUGAGAUCAAGAGCUGGAUGUUCAACUGACUGAACCACCCAGGCUCCCCUCGGUCUUUUCUCUUUCCUAGAAGGACUGAAAAAAGGACAACAGGCUGAAACAAUAUUGGAGGACUUAGAGUCAGUAGGAAGACGGUCUUGCUACUGAGGGUUUAGGUGUGUGUUAAUGAUUGGGAUGUACUAGGUGAGCAAGACUGAGAACCUUUAAACUUCGAAUAAUUCAGCUUUCGAGGUAAUUUUAAGAAAAACACGUAGGUUGAUAUCUGACCCCCUCAAAGUCAUCUACAAAAUACUAGGACAUCUAGGAGAAGUCUAAUUUUUAAAUAAAAUCACAGCCCACAAAGGGUCCUGGUGUGAUGCUGCCUCCCUCAAGAUGUCCCCAUUGGUGUCUCUCCUGGAAUAGUAUGUUUCUUGCCAGUGAAAUAAAAACGUGCAUGUCGGGAUCCCUGGGUGGCGCAGCGGUUCAGCGCCUGCUUUGGCCCAGGGCGUGAUCCUGGAGACCCAGGAUCGAAUCCCACGUCAGGCUCCCGGUGCAUGGAGUCUGCUUCUCCCUCUGCCUAUGUCUCUGCCCUCUCUCUCUCUCUCUCUGUGACUAUCAUAAGUAAAUUUAAAAAAAAAAAAAAAAAAAA